GGAGGGGUGGCAGAGCGGUUCAAUGCACCGGUCUUGAAAACCGGCGGGCGAAAGCCCUCGUGGGUUCGAAUCCCACCCCCUCCG
Molecule: transfer RNA, 84 nt
Filed under: Gemmatimonadota bacterium
Lineage: Bacteria; Pseudomonadati; Gemmatimonadota
Also listed under: 4 other names
Description: tRNA-Ser
Rfam family: tRNA
About the family: Transfer RNA (tRNA) molecules are approximately 80 nucleotides in length. Their secondary structure includes four short double-helical elements and three loops (D, anti-codon, and T loops).
Source: RNAcentral